ACCAACGACUGCGCCACGUUGAAUACACCAGUUCUCGUCCGAUCACUGAAGUUAAGCGACGUCGGGCGUGAUCAGCACUCGGAUGGUGACCCUCUGGGAGAUCACGUGUUGUUGGUU
RNAcentral lists this ribosomal RNA (117 nucleotides) under Olea europaea subsp. europaea. Lineage: Eukaryota; Viridiplantae; Streptophyta; Magnoliopsida; Lamiales; Oleaceae. The record is from RNAcentral.